CGCGAAUUCGCCCUUCGGGGUGCAGCAGGCGCGAAAACUUUACAAUGCUGGCAACAGCGAUAAGGGGACCUCGAGUGCCAGGAUACAAUCUUGGCUGUCGCGAUGCCUAAAAAGCAUUGCAUAGCAAGGGCCGGGCAAGACCGGUGCCAGCCGCCGCGGUAACACCGGCGGCUCGAGUGGUAACCGCUAUUAUUGGGUCUAAAGGGUCUGUAGCCGGCCGGAUAAGUCUUUUGGGAAAUCCAGCUGCUCAACAGUUGGGCUUUCAGAAGAUACUGUUCGGCUCGAGACCGGGAGAGGUGAGAGGUACUUCAGGGGUAGGGGUGAAAUCUUGUAAUCCUUGAAGGACCACCAGUGGCGAAGGCGUCUCACCAGAACGGAUCUGACGGCAAGGGACGAAAGCUAGGGGCACGAACCGGAUUAGAUACCCGGGUAGUCCUAGCCGUAAACGAUACUCGCUAGGUGUCAGCCACGGUGCGACCGUGGUUGGUGCCGUAGGGAAGCCGUGAAGCGAGCCGCCUGGGAAGUACGGCCGCAAGGCUGAAACUUAAAGGAAUUGGCGGGGGAGCAC
This 568-nucleotide ribosomal RNA is filed under the name uncultured archaeon. RNAcentral's name for it is "bacterial SSU rRNA". It matches the Rfam family "Archaeal small subunit ribosomal RNA", at positions 311 to 879 of the family's 1478-position model. The record is from RNAcentral.